GCCGUGCAUGUCACUUGUGUGUUGUGCCCUUAGCACCUGAGCACAGGGGCUGUUGACCAGUCUGGCUCCCUUCCAAAAUGUGGGCUUCUCUGAAAUUGAGAUCCGGACGGUGCGCUAAGGAGAACAUUGGGGGUAAAUUCAGAUGGGUGGCCUCACGGCGCAGGCUGCUAGCUGGACCGGCACAGUGACAGCACGAGUGACCCAGAGAACUGGACCCAGCGCCCCGCCGCCAGAGAAGGAGCAACCACUCCUGCCCUCUUCUUUGCCUGCACCUCCUGCUGUUGCUGAGCCAGCCCACAGGCCCGGCUCCCCCGCACCCGCAGAGAAGGUCGAGACUCCCCCGCCCACGGCCUCAGCUCUGGAUUACCCCAGUGAGAAUCUGGCCUUCAUCGACGAGUCCUCAGACACGCAGAGUGAGCGUGGCUGUGCCCUGCCUCGUGCGCCUCGGGGUCGCCGCCGCCCCAACCCAACGAAGAAGCCCUCCAGACCCCGGGGUCCUGGGCGUCUUCGAGACAAGGCCGUGCCGGUGUAGGGACAGGAUCUCUGGCCCGCGACCCUACGCCAGGGCUUCGCCCAGGCAUGCUUAGCUUAUUUGACCAAAGAGCCCUCUUUUGUUCCACGGAAUUGCAACCCGGAGAGGAGUCCAAUGGUUGCCAAAUGCCACCGCUCUUCCCUGGCUGGUUCUUCACAUCCAACCAUUUCCAAAGCCCACCAUCCAAGGCUUUCUGUCUUGCUUCCCUGCCGAUUUUGCCCCCACACCUCACGACUGUGCCUCAAAACCUGCAUCAAUAAAACAAAAAGUCUGCACCAA
RNAcentral lists this long non-coding RNA (811 nucleotides) under Rattus norvegicus (Norway rat). RNAcentral's name for it is "long non-coding RNA NONRATT003509". The record is from RNAcentral. Lineage: Eukaryota; Metazoa; Chordata; Mammalia; Rodentia; Muridae.